Molecule: long non-coding RNA, 1888 nt
Filed under: Solanum tuberosum (potato)
Lineage: Eukaryota; Viridiplantae; Streptophyta; Magnoliopsida; Solanales; Solanaceae
Description: long non-coding RNA (STUB_LNC005817)
Source: RNAcentral
AAGUUCAUGUUCAAAUUCUAAGUUCAACUUCAAAUUCUAAUUAAGUUCAUGUUCAAAUUCUAAGUUCAACUUCAAAUUCUAAUUAAGUUCAUGACAUUCAAACAUUCAUCUUCUACUCAUAACACUUCAAUUACUAAUUUCUAACUUCAAAUUAACACUUUACUAACUAGUCCUAAAAUCAAAUCCAAAAAAAUCUCAAUUUAACCUCAAAUUACAUAUUCUCAAGUUUAAACUAGUUCUAAAAUAUAAAAAUGCUAAUUCUUCACUAACUAACAAUGCCCAAUUUAAAAAUGCCUAAUUUCUUUUUAAAAAAACCUUAAAAUAAAAAUCUUCAAUUAUCUAUACCUAACUAACAAUAAUCAAAUCAAAUUAACAAUUGAAUAACACAACCAACAAACAAAAACAAUAAUAUACUAACAAACAAUCAAUUAUAAUUACUAGCAUUAAAGCCAAGUAUUAAUACUAGAUGGACACAAACACAUUAUUGAAAACAAUUGUACUUGAACUUUAGAAAUUUAGAAGCACCAACCUUAUCUCCAACUUUGAUGAAAGAAGCAAAAUAAACUUGUAUCAACUUUUUUACAUGUUGAGCUUCCUCAGUUGCCUAGCACGAAAAGUUCUUAAAUUAGUUAAAUAUAAACUUCAUAUCCAAGAAUAUUAGUUUAUAUAUAUAUAUAUAUAUAUUCUCAAGUUUUAAUAAGUUCAAGUUUCAAUUCAAGUUCAUAUAUAAUUUCUAAACUUAAUUAGUUAUAUAUUCAAGCUAAUUAGUUCCAAGUUCAAGUUAUAAUUUCAAGUUCAUAUUCCUAAUUAAGUUCAAUUUAUAGUAAAUUCAAGUUAUAAUUAAUUAUAAGUUCUAAUUAAGUUGUAAUUCAAAUCCCUAAAAUUCUAAAUUCAAACUAGCUAGCUAGUGUCCCAACUUCAAACUAUUAAAUUAGUCCUAAAAUAUCAAAUAUAAUUCAAACUAUUAGUCCUAAAUUCCAAAUUCAAAUUAGUCUUAAAAUCACAAAUUGAAAGUACUCCUAGAAUUCAAAAAUCAAACUAUAGUGCUAAAAUCCCAAAUUCAAACUAUUAGUAUUCCUAAAAUCUUAAUUAUAAUUCAAACUAGUCCUAAAUUCAAAAUUCAAACUAGUCUUAAAAUCACAAAUUCAAACUAGUCCUGAAAUCCCAAAAUCUAACUAGUGCUAAAAUCCUAAAUUCAAACUAGCUAGAUAUUCCUAAUCCCAAAUUCAAACUAUUAGUCCUAAAAUCUCAAUAAUAAUUCGAACUAACUCAAAUAAUACCCAAAUUCAAACAACUACUUAAAUACCCUAAUUCAAUCUAAUCUUUCAAUUCCAAAAUCAAACUAAUUAACUCAAGAAAUACCGAAUUUCAAACAAAUCCUAAGAUACCCUAAUUCAAACUAACCCUAACAUUAAAAUUUUCAAUUCACAAUCAACAAACACAAACUAACAAUCAAAUAAUCCCUAAUUCAAACUAACAAUCAAAAAUCCUAAAUCAUUCACUUACUAACUAACAAUCAAUCAAUAAAAAACUAAUUCAAUACACUAAUUAACAAAUUCAAUACUCAAAUUGAAAGAAAUUAAAAAUAAUAUUAUGAAACCCUAACCUUGAAUUAAAGGAGAAGGGUAGUGGGUCGAGGUCGGGGUCAGUUGCCUAGCACGAAAAGAAACAAAUGUUAAUCGGUGUGUGUGUAUGUUCGACUAACAUUAAGAGUAAUAAGAGCACAAGCAAAUUCUGGACAAACAUAGGAACCUUAGAUGGUGAAAUAUAAAUUGAACUAAGUAUAUUAGUACUCUAAUUUUGAGAUACUUCAACUAAAUAGAAACAAAAGAAAUCUGUUAUGGAGGUUCUAAAAAUUCACCUUGAGUAAGAAGGUCGGGGAUGGUGG